Molecule: unclassified non-coding RNA, 240 nt
Filed under: soil metagenome
Description: partial contains 5.8S ribosomal RNA, internal transcribed spacer 2, and large subunit ribosomal RNA
Source: RNAcentral
AACCAUAGAAACCUGCGGAGUACCUGCGGAAGGAUCAUUAACUAUUUGUGGGGGAAGUAUUCUAUUCGAAUCUUUCACCAUUAAUUCAUCCAUAAUGUGGGUCAAACCACAUGCGCAAUGUUUUUUUAAAAGGGUUACUUUCGGGUACUCUUUUUUUAUUAUAAUAUGGUUCUUUUUUGGGCUAUAUUAUUAAUUUUUUUAUACUAAAUUUACUGAAUAACGAUUGACCAUAAUUUAUGG